CGGUGAAUACGUUCCCGGGCCUUGUACACACCGCCCGUCAAGCCAUGGAAGUUCGGUGGACCUGAAGACGGUGCCCUUCACAGGAGCCGGUUAGGGUAAAACGGAUAACUGGGGCU
Molecule: ribosomal RNA, 116 nt
Filed under: uncultured bacterium
Lineage: Bacteria
Description: partial 16S ribosomal RNA
Rfam family: Bacterial small subunit ribosomal RNA
Source: RNAcentral